UUCGAUGCCCGGGGCCGCACGCGCGCCACACUGAAGGAACCAGCGUGUGCUCGCCCUGUCCGGCAGGACUGGGUAACCCGCUGAACCUCCUUCGUGAUAGGGAUAGGGGCUUGCAAUUCUUCCCCUUGAACGAGGAAUUCCCAGUAAGCGCGAGUCAUCAGCUCGCGUUGAUUACGUCCCUGCCCUUUGUGCACACCGCCCGUCGCUACUACCGAUUGAAUGAUUUAGUGAGGUCACGGACUGGCGCUCGGAGCGGAGCCUCGUGCCGGGCCGACGUGCCGGAAAGACGACCGAACUUGAUCAUUUAGAGGAAGUAAAAGUCGUAACAAGGUUACC
This 336-nucleotide ribosomal RNA is filed under the name Holocneminus sp. Phi105. RNAcentral's name for it is "bacterial SSU rRNA". It matches the Rfam family "Eukaryotic small subunit ribosomal RNA", at positions 1473 to 1804 of the family's 1831-position model. Lineage: Eukaryota; Metazoa; Arthropoda; Arachnida; Araneae; Pholcidae. The record is from RNAcentral.